UACGGGGGGGGCAAGCGUUGUUCGGAAUUACUGGGCGUAAAGGGCUCGUAGGCGGCCAACUAAGUCGGACGUGAAAUCCCCGGGCUCAACCCGGGAACUGCGUCCGAUACUGGAAGGCUUGAAUCCGGGAGAGGGAUGCGGAAUUCCAGGUGUAGCGGUGAAAUGCGUAGAUAUCUGGAGGAACACCGGUGGCGAAGGCGGCAUCCUGGACCGGCAUUGACGCUGAGGCGCGAAAGCCAGGGGAGCAAACGGG
Molecule: ribosomal RNA, 253 nt
Filed under: uncultured bacterium
Lineage: Bacteria
Description: partial 16S ribosomal RNA
Rfam family: Bacterial small subunit ribosomal RNA
Source: RNAcentral